UUUAACUAAUAAUAUUCAUUUAAACUUGUGAUAAUCAAAUUUCACCCAUGUUUGAUUUUUAUCCAGGAAGUCAAUUUGUGACAUACAUGUCAGACUUCUUUUUGCUUAGGUCACCAAAACUUUAGUACGAAAAAACCCCCCCAAAAAUUCUGUGCGUAUGCAUACAAAUUAAAAAAAAAGGGAACGCAAGAUCCCGCGUGACUGCCUUUAACCCUCUAAAUUACUAGCGCGUUCUGACCCACUCUCCUCUUGUUUUUUUUUUCCCUGUGUGCACCCCAGAUGGAGCAGCCCUCAAUGGAUCAAAAGGGCCACGCCAAUGUUCCCUGGAUAGUCGAGCCAGGACAUGAAGCCAAAAGAGGAGCCAACACCAAGGCAAUGGCGGACGCCCAUGUCUAUUACAGUGGAAUUCAGAGAAUGUAGCCUGUCCCUAACAUGGACCCUCACUCUCACAUGCAUUGCAAAAACGGACCACAAAUACGGAACCUAAAAGCAUCACUGGAGCCUCUCGUAACGCACGUGUAAGGAUUUUCACAAGGACUUUUUCGCCGGGACUUGGUGUACGCGUACAAGGACUGCCGACGUGGACCCUUUUAACAAAACACUCGCAUGCACUCGCGCACACACACACUGCAUAAAAAAACAACAGGAGGAGACUGUGGAAUUUGAAUGUAUACUUUUCAAGAGGCAGCGAUUUGAGUUGCGUUCUGAAGGACGGCGGCCGAUACAGAAAUUUGUUGCGCGAGAGACGGACUGGGGAAGGACUGUCGCUAUGGCGACUCGGACACACUACACUGAUUUUUCACCUAAUAUCUAGUCCAAAAUACCAUGGCAUGUCUGGACUGGGAUAAAAACGGACAUUUACAUAAAUUUCUGUAUUUUUUCUUUUCUGUUUUCUUUGUUUCUAUCUUCCUUUCUUUAUUUCAUUUGUUUAUGGUUAUUGAUCUAAAAAUAUGAAUAUGCACAAUGUGAAUGGACUCAUUGCACUGGACAACCACAAAACUGAUGCGUCUCGUGCCAAAAUCACUAUGGAACGGUUGUGGACGUAAUUGGCAAUGCCACGCAGAUUAAUAUUCAUAUAUUGGCAAGAAAUUUUACUGUUUAAUAGAGAACUAUAUUACCAUUACUGUAAUAUUUACAAUUAUUAUAAUUAUUAUUCUUAUUGUGCAAUUCUCAUCUGAUGUCGUCUUAACGUAACAUUAUUUUUAUAUGACGCGUCAAGCUCAAAUAAGCAGCCAUUCGUGAAAACAAAAAAAUAUUAUUAUAUUACUACGGAGGAACUGAAUGUGCGGAUGGCAACAGAUAUCUUAUUUUCACUCAUUGUCACUGUAGAAUUUUGCCACAGUUCUGUAAAUAAAUAUUUUGUUGACUCAUUGUUCAUAUAUGUAAUUAAAAAAACAAAAAAAACAAAGAAAAACCAUGUAUAAAGAAUGAUUUAAAAAAAGAAAAAAAUCCAAUAAAUUGGAUAGGUAAAGAAGGUACCAAAUUUCGCAGGUCAAAGUGCAACACAUUAAAAGAAAACAACAGUAUGAACAAGGGGUGGAUUUGUGACAUCAUUGCUAACUAACAUGUGUAGAUAGGCUUGGGCUUCCAGCACACAGAUUUUGUAAGUUUGGUCUUUACUUAUAUUCUUGAAAAGCACAUGGAAUAAAUCCAGAUUGUAGAACCAUU
This is a long non-coding RNA of Sinocyclocheilus grahami, 1668 nucleotides long. RefSeq lists it as uncharacterized. The transcript is spliced from 2 exons. NCBI's taxonomy places the organism in Eukaryota, Metazoa, Chordata, Actinopteri, Cypriniformes, Cyprinidae. The record is from RefSeq and is a predicted model, not a curated record.